GGCCCCGUGGUGUAGUGGACUAACACGCCAGCCUGUCACGCUGGAGAUCGAGGGUUCGAAUCCCUUCGGGGUCG
Molecule: transfer RNA, 74 nt
Filed under: Chloroflexota bacterium
Lineage: Bacteria; Bacillati; Chloroflexota
Also listed under: 1 other name
Description: Chloroflexi bacterium tRNA-Asp
Rfam family: tRNA
About the family: Transfer RNA (tRNA) molecules are approximately 80 nucleotides in length.
Source: RNAcentral